Molecule: unclassified non-coding RNA, 509 nt
Filed under: Hevea brasiliensis (rubber tree)
Lineage: Eukaryota; Viridiplantae; Streptophyta; Magnoliopsida; Malpighiales; Euphorbiaceae
Source: RNAcentral
AAGACAUAAAAUUACAUCAUAUAAUAUAUAAUGGCACUCGCCGCAAACCAGCAGUGAUUCUUCUUCUCUCAAUUUCCUUUUAUUUCAGUUUGUACAGGAAAAUUGCCGAUGAUUACCUCCCUCCCCUUCGUCACAGAGAUGGUGAAUAUUUCUGCAGUAGAGUUCAGGCGUCAGCGAGUACAGACAGUGUCGGCAUUGGACUCCCUGAUACGAACGACUCGAAGAGCACGAGAGCCUGUUUCGGUCGGUGCAGCGAAACCUCGUGACCAGCUCCCCUUACAGUCACAAAUGUGAGCCCUUUGUAUACUUGGGUCCAUCCUCCAACCUGGCCAUCAUCAUACCAGGCGUGCCAAGGGACCACAGUUGGAAGCUUAAGAGAAUCAAUGCUAUAACGUGUCGAUGUAACUGGAAUUACAGAAUCUGUAUCUCCACUGAACAUCCAAAUACGAAGCCCAUGUCCUAUAAGCUCGCGAUAUAUAGGUAGCACUGAACUUGGAGCAUCCUUCCAA